GAGAAGGCGUAAACAAAGAUGGUCAUGUGAUAAGUAACACGCUGGCGUGCUGAUAGAGUGCGCAGAUCCGGCAACGGGACGGGUGCGCUGCCAUUGCAGCGUCUGCUCUAACUCCUCAAUAAAGAUAGCAUUGGUUGGUUGUUACCCCUGGCAACUAUGUAAGUAAGAAUAACUCAAAUAUCGGAAGUGUUUACAUCAUGAUUGGGGUUUGUUAAAGACAUACCUCGUUUUCCCAAAGGCCACACCCAUUUUUCUGAGUAAAGUGGAGAGUUAGUAGAGCUUUUUUGGGGAUUUUUUUUUUUU
Hyla sarda is the source of this 303-nucleotide long non-coding RNA. RefSeq lists it as uncharacterized. Lineage: Eukaryota; Metazoa; Chordata; Amphibia; Anura; Hylidae. The transcript is spliced from 3 exons. The record is from RefSeq and is a predicted model, not a curated record.